RNAcentral lists this ribosomal RNA (1346 nucleotides) under uncultured bacterium. RNAcentral's name for it is "16S ribosomal RNA". It matches the Rfam family "Bacterial small subunit ribosomal RNA", at positions 28 to 1381 of the family's 1533-position model. The record is from RNAcentral.
GACGAACGCUGGCGGCGUGCUUAACACAUGCAAGUCGAACGGAAAGGCCCUGCUUUUGUGGGGUGCUCGAGUGGCGAACGGGUGAGUAACACGUGAGUAACCUGCCCUUGACUUUGGGAUAACUUCAGGAAACUGGGGCUAAUACCGGAUAGGAGCUCCUGCUGCAUGGUGGGGGUUGGAAAGUUUCGGCGGUUGGGGAUGGACUCGCGGCUUAUCAGCUUGUUGGUGGGGUAGUGGCUUACCAAGGCUUUGACGGGUAGCCGGCCUGAGAGGGUGACCGGCCACAUUGGGACUGAGAUACGGCCCAGACUCCUACGGGUGGCAGCAGUGGGGAAUAUUGCACAAUGGGCGGAAGCCUGAUGCAGCAACGCCGCGUGCGGGAUGACGGCCUUCGGGUUGUAAACCGCUUUCGCCUGUGACGAAGCGUGAGUGACGGUAAUGGGUAAAGAAGCACCGGCUAACUACGUGCCAGCAGCCGCGGUGAUACGUAGGGUGCGAGCGUUGUCCGGAUUUAUUGGGCGUAAAGGGCUCGUAGGUGGUUGAUCGCGUCGGAAGUGUAAUCUUGGGGCUUAACCCUGAGCGUGCUUUCGAUACGGGUUGACUUGAGGAAGGUAGGGGAGAAUGGAAUUCCUGGUGGAGCGGUGGAAUGCGCAGAUAUCAGGAGGAACACCAGUGGCGAAGGCGGUUCUCUGGGCCUUUCCUGACGCUGAGGAGCGAAAGCGUGGGGAGCGAACAGGCUUAGAUACCCUGGUAGUCCACGCUGUAAACGGUGGGUACUAGGUGUGGGGUCCAUUCCACGGGUUCCGUGCCGUAGCUAACGCUUUAAGUACCCCGCCUGGGGAGUACGGCCGCAAGGCUAAAACUCAAAGGAAUUGACGGGGCCCCGCACAAGCGGCGGAGCAUGCGGAUUAAUUCGAUGCAACGCGUAGAACCUUACCUGGGUUUGACAUGGAUCGGGAGUGCUCAGAGAUGGGUGUGCCUCUUUUGGGGUCGGUUCACAGGUGGUGCAUGGCUGUCGUCAGCUCGUGUCGUGAGAUGUUGGGUUAGGUCCCGCAACGAGCGCAACCCUUGUUCACUGUUGCCAGCAUGUUAUGGUGGGGACUCAGUGGAGACCGCCGGGGUCAACUCGGAGGAAGGUGGGGAUGACGUCAAGUCAUCAUGCCCCUUAUGUCCAGGGCUUCACGCAUGCUACAAUGGCUGGUACAGAGAGUGGCGAGCCUGUGAGGGUGAGCGAAUCUCGGGAAGCCGGUCUCAGUUCGGAUUGGGGUCUGCAACUCGACCUCAUGAAGUCGGAGUCGCUAGUAAUCGCAGAUCAGCAACGCUGCGGUGAAUACGUUCCCGGGUCU